This 1268-nucleotide long non-coding RNA is filed under the name Equus caballus (horse). Its description in RNAcentral is "lncRNA (ENSECAG00000040841.2)". The record is from RNAcentral. Lineage: Eukaryota; Metazoa; Chordata; Mammalia; Perissodactyla; Equidae.
GUACUUUACUGUCUUAACUCGUUUCAGCCCACGGAAAUCCCAUGAGACGGUGCUGUGACCGCUCUGACCUUAAAGAUGGGAUCACUGAGGCAGGGAGCUGACACAGUGUCCUCAGGUUCUAAGGAUACCAACUCGCUGGUAAAAUUCCUGAGUGUUGAACCAUCCUCUCAGGAGUUGGAGGAGCCAGCCCCAGCGCACCACUGGCUGAAAGUAAUCAUUCAAAUUGACUGGAGCAGUUCAGCCAGGAGUGUGUUCUGCCAGACUCAGGCCUCUGAGAGACACUGUGGGUGGAGCCACUAUGGUAACGUGCUUGGCAACGUAGAUGUCCAUGGGGAGAACCUCUGCCUAGUGGUCCAGGGGGCACUGGAGAACCCCUGCCCCUCUUUUCCCCCUUGGUUGGUGCUGAGACACCAUUCAGAGAGCUGCUCCAAGGUCUCCUGGGAUCCUACAGCAGUAUCCUGUAGCAUGGCCAACUCAGUAACACAGGCAACAGCCUCUGCGAGCCAACCAGAUUUUCUCCAAGAUGGAGACUCAGCCCAGCCAACAUUCUACCACAGAAGCGACUGACCUGGCCUGGGGGUCCACCAGCCCAACCACUGGGUGUAAAAUUCUUACUAGCCAUGAGUCCUGACACUUUCAGAGUUGGAGUUCUGGAAAUGAGAAGAGGCAAGGGGAGCAGGAAAGCUCUUGCCUGAUUGGCCUGGGCAUGGUGAUGUGGCGUCUGCUCUCUCUGGACUUGGCAGACGUUGAAAGCUGACUCUCACAGGCUCUUUUUGAUGAUCUUAACUCACAAUCACUGAGGAUCUCUUCCCUGAAGUUUGCUUCACAGGACAAAUGCUCUCUAUUCCAGCCACUCACUUACUCACUCAUUCCUUCCUCGGCCUCUAUGAAUGUGCUGAUACCUCAAGCUUCUCCCUGAGAAGACCUGUUUAUUCCUCCAUGCAGCCCUCUUGGACAGAUCCAAGACAAUCCCUCACUGCCAUAGCGGGUAGGGGGAAACUUCUCCUGUGCCCUCUUAUAUUCAGUGACCGAGGCCAGCAAAUUAAACUGACAAAGAAAAGAUUAACAGGAGAGUAGGUUUAUUUCAUAUGCAUACGCGGGACCUCACAGAAAAGAAGUGAAAAUCCCCCAAAGCAAUAAUGCCUGGGGGUUUAUGUACCAUUUUAACAAAGGACAACACAGUGUAGAGAAGAGUUAAAGGGGUUUGAGCUUCUGGGGUGGUGAAUUGGAGGAAGGUAAAUAUACAGGGGAACCUAAUGGAAGAUGAG